This 611-nucleotide unclassified non-coding RNA is filed under the name Hevea brasiliensis (rubber tree). The record is from RNAcentral. Lineage: Eukaryota; Viridiplantae; Streptophyta; Magnoliopsida; Malpighiales; Euphorbiaceae.
UCUCUCCCUUUCUCCCCCUUUUCUUCUUUCUUACUAAAAACUCAACAAAAAAAUCGACCAAAGUAAUGUGGUAAAAUUUUAUUUCCUUGAUAUGUUUUUCUCAUUCAAGAUGUCAAUUAACUUUUAUAGGAACCAUAGUGCUUUCUCUUUUUUAGUUUUUUUCUAAAUUUACUGUAUAUUUAAUGUGCAGCUUUGUUUGGGAUACAGAUAUAGGAGAUUGUUAAGCAAAAAUUGCAUAACUAAAUUUGUGUACAGUAAUUCGUUUUUCAAUUUUGUCACUAACAUAUUUAGGAAUAUAGCCUUUACAAAUAUGUAAUUCCUUGACUUUCUGGAUAUUUGUGUUAAGUUGGAGUUUUGCUGGUAAAAUAGUAAUAUGCUUUAGUGCAAAAUAGAAAUAUAUAGAAGUAAAUAUACAAAAUAGUUCCACUGUUUAGAAGAAAGUUUCUGUGUUUAAUUUUGAGAAUUAUGGACCCAGGAGUAUAACUAUCAAACUGGCAAGCUAUAUGUUGGUCUAGGCUUCUCAUCACCAAAAUGGCCUAGCCAUUUUGUUUUGGUUUGCCAACACUUAUGUACCCUUUAAUUUUUUUGUAUGCUACCGAUGUGGGACUUGU